GGUGAGUUUGUUCUAUUGGUUUGUUAGCAGUUUUUUGGAAGAAAAGGCCAAGGAUAUGUAUGUGUAUCAAUGAGAUUUUCUGGUUUGGUUGGUGGUUUUGGUAAAUGCAAAUGGGAUAUGAAACUAGGCAUGGCCAAGCUUUUUGCUCAUUGAGUUUUUGGGACAGGUUUGUGAAGAAAUGGCCAAAACGCAGUUAGGUGGUUUUAGAGAUUGUAGGAAAUUGGUUAGAUUUUGUUGGUUAAUGCAAGUGGGAUGAGCUUGUAUGAAUGAGGUUAGGUCAUGUUGGUUUGAUGAUGUUUGGUCAACUUGUGCUUGGACAGCUUUUAGAAAAUGCAAGGCAGGUUAGGUUUAGUUAUGUUGGCAAAGUUUAGAAGUGAUGCAAAAUAGAGGUGAACCAAACUGUCAUGGUUGGCAAGGCAAUGUUUUGAGUUGGACAGGAAGAAAUGGGAAUGCAAUACCAGCAAGUUAGGUUUUUUUGGUCCACUUGUUUUGGACAGAAAGAGUGAUAUGCCAAGGCCAAGGUUAAAAAUGAGGGAGUAGGUGAAGGGGUUUGGAAUGGAUGAGGUUUUGGCAGAAAAUACACAAGCAAGGUGAGGUGAAUCAAAAAAAUCUGCUGCAGUGCUAUGUUGCUUGUUGUGGUCAUGAAUUUUGAC
RNAcentral lists this long non-coding RNA (653 nucleotides) under Lathyrus oleraceus (garden pea). RNAcentral describes it as "Pisum sativum (pea) long non-coding RNA (PSAT_LNC040835)". The record is from RNAcentral. Lineage: Eukaryota; Viridiplantae; Streptophyta; Magnoliopsida; Fabales; Fabaceae.